This is a non-coding RNA of Gorilla gorilla gorilla (western lowland gorilla), 247 nucleotides long. It matches the Rfam family "Metazoan signal recognition particle RNA". From Rfam's summary of the family: The signal recognition particle (SRP) is a universally conserved ribonucleoprotein. It is involved in the co-translational targeting of proteins to membranes. The eukaryotic SRP consists of a 300-nucleotide 7S RNA and six proteins: SRPs 72, 68, 54, 19, 14, and 9. The record is from Rfam. Lineage: Eukaryota; Metazoa; Chordata; Mammalia; Primates; Hominidae.
GCCAGGCACAGUGGCUCAUGCCUGUAAUCUCAACACUCUGGGAGGCUGAGGCAGGCAGAUCACCUGAGGUCAGGAGUUUGAGACCAUCCUGGCCAAUAUGGUGAAACCCCAUCUCUACUAAAAAUACAAAAAUUAGCCAGGNNNNNNNNNNCCUGGCUAAUUUUUGUAUUUUUAGUAGAGAUGGGGUUUCACCAUAUUGGCCAGGAUGGUCUCAAACUCCUGACCUCAGGUGAUCUGCCUGCCUCAG